GACGAACGCUGGCGGCGUGCUUAACACAUGCAAGUCGAACGAAGAGCGACGGAAGCUUGCUUCUAUCAAUCUUAGUGGCGAACGGGUGAGUAACGCGUAAUCAACCUGCCCUUCAGAGGGGGACAACAGUUGGAAACGACUGCUAAUACCCCAUACGAUCUAACCUCGGCAUCGAGGAUAGAUGAAAGGUGGCCUCUACAUGUAAGCUAUCACUGAAGGAGGGGAUUGCGUCUGAUUAGCUAGUUGGAGGGGUAACGGCCCACCAAGGCGAUGAUCAGUAGCCGGUCUGAGAGGAUGGACGGCCACAAUGGGAAUAAGACACGGCCCAGACUCCUACGGGAGGCAGCAGUGGGGAAUCUUCCGCAAUGGACGAAAGUCUGACGGAGCAACGCCGCGUGAGUGAUGACGGCCUUCGGGUUGUAAAGCUCGGUUAAUCGGGACGAAAGGCCUUCUUGCGAAUAGUGAGAAGGAUUGACGGUACCGGAAUAGAAAGCCACGGCUAACUACGUG
This 510-nucleotide ribosomal RNA is filed under the name uncultured bacterium. RNAcentral describes it as "partial 16S ribosomal RNA". It matches the Rfam family "Bacterial small subunit ribosomal RNA", at positions 28 to 507 of the family's 1533-position model. The record is from RNAcentral.